Molecule: ribosomal RNA, 377 nt
Filed under: uncultured bacterium
Lineage: Bacteria
Description: bacterial SSU rRNA
Rfam family: Bacterial small subunit ribosomal RNA
Source: RNAcentral
UAAUACGUAGGAGGCAAGCGUUAUCCGGAUUUAUUGGGCGUAAAGCGCGUGUAGGCGGCUCUUCAAGUCGGAUGUAAAAUUUCCCAGCUCAACUGGGAGGGACCAUUCGAUACUGCUAGGCUAGAGUUCAGCAGAGGGAGGUGGAAUUCCCGGUGUAGUGGUGAAAUGCGUAGAUAUCGGGAGGAACACCAGUGGCGAAGGCGACCUCCUAGGCUGCAACUGACGCUGAGACGCGAAAGCGUGGGGAGCGAACAGGAUUAGAUACCCUGGUAGUCCACGCUGUAAACUAUGGACACUAGGUAUGGGGAGUAUCGACCCUCUCCGUGCCGUAGCUAACGCAUUAAGUGUCCCGCCUGGGGACUACGGCCGCAAGGCUA